Molecule: ribosomal RNA, 254 nt
Filed under: uncultured bacterium
Lineage: Bacteria
Description: partial 16S ribosomal RNA
Rfam family: Bacterial small subunit ribosomal RNA
Source: RNAcentral
UACGGGGGGGGCAAGCGGUUGUUCGGAAUUACUGGGCGUAAAGGGCUCGUAGGCGGCCAACUAAGUCAGACGUGAAAUCCCUCGGCUUAACCGGGGAACUGCGUCUGAUACUGGAUGGCUUGAGAUUGGGAGAGGGAUGCGGAAUUCCAGGUGUAGCGGUGAAAUGCGUAGAUAUCUGGAGGAACACCGGUGGCGAAGGCGGCAUCCUGGACCAACACUGACGCUGAGGAGCGAAAGCUGGGGGAGCGAACGGG